GGGCCCGCACAAGCGGUGGAGCAUGUGGUUUAAUUCGAUGCAACGCGAAGAACCUUACCUGGUCUUGACAUACACAGAAUCUUGUAGAGAUACGAGAGUGCCUUCGGGAAUUGUGAUACAGGUGCUGCAUGGCUGUCGUCAGCUCGUGUCGUGAGAUGUUGGGUUAAGUCCCGCAACGAGCGCAACCCUUGUCCUUAGUUACCAGCACUUCGGGUGGGAACUCUAAGGAUACUGCCAGUGACAAACUGGAGGAAGGCGGGGACGACGUCAAGUCAUCAUGGCCCUUACACCCCUGGGCUACACACGUGCUACAAUGGGUGAGACAAUGAGAUGCAACUCUGCGAAGACAAGC
RNAcentral lists this ribosomal RNA (352 nucleotides) under uncultured bacterium. RNAcentral's name for it is "bacterial SSU rRNA". It matches the Rfam family "Bacterial small subunit ribosomal RNA", at positions 917 to 1268 of the family's 1533-position model. The record is from RNAcentral.